CUUCCUCAGUCGCAGCCCUUCUCUUUUCUUGCGCGUGCGUGCAGCUCCUAUGCUCAGCCUAAGAGGUAGAGGGGCCGUGCGGAGUGUGGGCCCGAGGGUCCGUAGAUGACGUAUCAGUAGAUAGGCAUUUAUUCUACUGUUCGAGGAAAACAAAUAAGGGUGCAGCUUAGGCGAAAAGAAAAACAUCUUAUUGCCAGUGUCUAAACUCCAACGGAAUGUGUCUGAGACCGUGUGUAUGGAUACACGUGUACUUGAAUCAGCCCCGCAUGUGUGUACAGCUCUUGCUGUAAGUCAACGCUUUACCGGAGCAAUCGCACUUAAGCCUCAAGAACUUUAUGAGACGAUUUCUCAGAAGUGGGAAUACCAGUUCCCAAAAGGUCUGUGAAGUGUCAGACCUCAAGACAGACAACAACUGUUUCAUUAGGUUCACAGUAUCUAGUGCACUAAUCAUAAACCUGUACAACAUUUACUGAAAUCUGUUGGUAAUGUGGUUUACUUCUAACAGGCUUGUUUAUAUGCAUUCUUAUUCUAUCCUGGAUUGGAAUCAGAAAAUUGGACAGUGUUGCAGGUUCUGACUGAUGCAGGCACACUGACAGUGAUGAAAGUGAGAACUGUGUCCUCUGAUGUACAACUCCAGUGGGCAACAUUUACAUUGUAAUGUAUGUAAAUGACAUUUCCUGAAGCACAAUUAAGAGGCUACAGAAUGUAUCUUCCAGGAGGGCAGGCCUAUAUCUUUUUGCUUACUCCAGCUCCCUUCUAGCAAGUGUUUGACACAUAAAAGAUGUUCAGUAAGUACUGAUAAAAAUGGGGAGUGAAGGCUGAUCACAAAAUUUUCCUGCCCCAAUACUUUACAAAAUAGUUUGCGCGAAAAAAAGAACAGUAAAAACUCCUUUAAAAACCUUACCAGGGACUUCCCCGGUGGCGCAGUGGUUAGGAAUCUGCCUGCCAAUGCA
Molecule: non-coding RNA, 953 nt
Organism: Delphinapterus leucas (beluga whale)
Lineage: Eukaryota; Metazoa; Chordata; Mammalia; Artiodactyla; Monodontidae
Source: RefSeq, a predicted model, not a curated record